GUGAACGCUGGCGGUAGGCCUAACACAUGCAAGUCGCACGGCAGCACAGGAGAGCUUGCUCUCUGGGUGGCGAGUGGCGGGCGGGUGAGGAAUACAUCGGAAUCUGCCCAGUCGUGGGGGAUAACGUAGGGAAACUUACGCUAAUACCGCAUACGACCUUCGGGUGAAAGAGGGGGAUCGCAAGACCUCUCGCGAUUGGAUGAGCCGAUGUCGGAUUAGCUAGUUGGCGGGGUAAUGGCCCACCAAGGCGACGAUCCGUAGCUGGUCUGAGAGGAUGAUCAGCCACACUGGAACUGAGACACGGUCCAGACUCCUACGGGAGGCAGCAGUGGGGAAUAUUGGACAAUGGGCGCAAGCCUGAUCCAGCCAUACCGCGUGGGUGAAGAAGGCCUUCGGGUUGUAAAGCCCUUUUGUUGGGAAAGAAAUCUUUCAGGCUAAUACCCUGGGAGGAUGACGGUACCCAAAGAAUAAGCACCGGCUAACUUCGU
This 488-nucleotide ribosomal RNA is filed under the name uncultured bacterium. RNAcentral describes it as "partial 16S ribosomal RNA". It matches the Rfam family "Bacterial small subunit ribosomal RNA", at positions 29 to 506 of the family's 1533-position model. The record is from RNAcentral.